This 439-nucleotide ribosomal RNA is filed under the name uncultured bacterium. RNAcentral describes it as "partial 16S ribosomal RNA". It matches the Rfam family "Bacterial small subunit ribosomal RNA", at positions 339 to 795 of the family's 1533-position model. The record is from RNAcentral.
CUACGGGUGGCACCAGUGAGAAAUAUUGCACAAUGGGGGGAACCCUGAUGCAGCAACGCCGCGUGGAGGAUGACGCAUUUCGGUGUGUAAACUCCUUUUAUAUGUCAGGAAAAUGACGGUAGCAUAUGAAUAAGCACCGGCUAACUCCGUGCCAGCAGCCGCGGUAAUACGGAGGGUGCAAGCGUUACUCGGAAUCACUGGGCGUAAAGGACGCGUAGGCGGGUUGGAAAGUCAGGUGUGAAAUCCUACAGCUUAACUGUAGAACUGCACUUGAAACUUCUAAUCUAGAGUAUGGGAGGGGGAGAUGGAAUUAGUGGUGUAGGGGUAAAAUCCGUAGAUAUCACUAGGAAUACCUAAAGCGAAGGCGAUCUCCUGGAACAUUACUGACGCUAAGGCGUGAAAGCGUGGGGAGCAAACAGGAUUAGAUACCCGUGUAGUC